This 492-nucleotide ribosomal RNA is filed under the name Scinax albicans (Teresopolis snouted treefrog). RNAcentral describes it as "partial small subunit ribosomal RNA". It matches the Rfam family "Bacterial small subunit ribosomal RNA", at positions 794 to 1522 of the family's 1533-position model. Lineage: Eukaryota; Metazoa; Chordata; Amphibia; Anura; Hylidae. The record is from RNAcentral.
GCCUAGCUGUAAACCUUAAAUUACACCUAAAUCGCCAGGGAACUACGAGCAAAGCUUAAAACCCAAGGGACUUGACGGUAUCCCCACAUCCACCUAGAGGAGCCUGUCCUAGAAUCGAUAAUCCCCGUUUAACCUCACCACUUUUAGCCUACUCAGCCUGUAUACCUCCGUCGUCAGCUUACCACGUGAGCGAUCAAUAGUGAGCUUCAUGUCCACUCGUCAAAACGUCAGGUCAAGGUGCAGCUUACAAAGUGGGAAGAGAUGGGCUACACUCUCUAACCUAGAAAAUACGAAAAACUAUCUAUGAAACCUAGUCAGAAGGCGGAUUUAGUAGUAAAAAGAGAUAAGAAAGCUCUUUUUAACAGGGCACGGGGUGUGUACACACCGCCCGUCACCCUCUUCAAAGCUAAAAAUUAGUAUUUAACCACUUAAAGCAAAACAGAAGAGGCAAGUCGUAACAUGGUAAGUAUACCGGAAGGUGUGCUUGGAAAC